CCUGGAGCCCCUUGGCUUUUCUUUAUAAUGAUGAUUUUUAAGCAGGUGAUCAGGUCUUUGCCUCCGCCAGCCUGUUGGGCACGGAUGCCUGAUGCUACAGUCGCUGCGGCUGUAGUUUGGUUGUGGUUCUGCUGUUGGAACAUGCGUCGCUCUCAGCUGGCGGAGAUGAUCGACUGCCUUGCUUCUUGGAACAUUCUGAAGGAACACGCUGACGAUGACCAAAAUCUUGCCAUUUCGGGGGUCCCCGUGGUCAGCUGGCCCAAGAAGACCACAAAGGAAAUGCUCUCAUCUGGAGGAGAGGAGGCUUCUCCUUGGACACUGUCAGACCUGUAUCCUCUGCCCAGCUCCGGCUCCGCAGCUUUGGAGGGUUGUCCCUGCGGCUUCCUUUUGCUCUCUAUAUGUGGCAAUAAUUCUCUCUGCUUUGUAGGAGCGAGGCUUGCUUCAUUAAUACUUGCAAAGAAUUUGAAAUAACUAACUAAAGAGGAAUGUCAAAGAGUUAUAUGUUGUUUUUAUCAGGGGUGUGUUUACCAAACUGCAGUUAUUCAGACUGCUGUAAAAGGAGCCUGCUUAUUUAGAUGAUGUCUCAUUGCUUCUAUUUUCACUGCUAUUCUUCACUGAAUUAAUUUUAUAAUACAUAAUUUCUCAAAAAAUGCUGAAAGGGUCAGUCAUCAUAAAUCAGGCUUCUAUCUGAAAAUCUGUUCCUCUUUGUAAAUAACUUUCAAAUCAUUAACUGAGUGAAUUAUUUUCCCUGUUUUCAUUUAAUUUGCUUGUGCACUUGCUGUGUAUAUCAUCACUUGUAGCCRUAAGAAUAAGCUAUUUCCAAAUGGAAAAAAGGAGACUGUAAACUUGAGAAAGCAGAGGCCAAAAUGCAUCUCGG
Long non-coding RNA from Nothoprocta perdicaria, 877 nucleotides. RefSeq lists it as uncharacterized. NCBI's taxonomy places the organism in Eukaryota, Metazoa, Chordata, Aves, Tinamiformes, Tinamidae. The record is from RefSeq and is a predicted model, not a curated record. The transcript is spliced from 3 exons.